CAUGCUAUGAAAUCUUUUAACUUUAUACUGGCAACAUUAUAUUUGACAUAUUUAAUUUUCAAAUAUGGCAAAGUUUUAUCGAUUGUUCAUAUUUUUCGCGUUUUGGGCUGUCGUGAUUUUGAGGACAGAUUUUUUAAACUAAAUCAAAAUGCUAGCACUCAGAAGCCUACUUAGAAACACCACCCAGGUUUCCAAAAAUGUGAUCCAACAAAGAAAUAUGAGUGUAACCGCUAUUCCGGCUAGAUCGAAGGUUUCCACAGGCGAGUUCCUGUUCCUAUCCACUCUCAUGGUUAUCGGCUGGUCGGCCAUCCCUGCCUGGGUGCUCGUACACAUCAAGGACUACCGCAAUAAGAACUAAACCAUAGACAAAUAGUAUUUAUGUAGAUAUAACUAUGGCAAGUUGCUUGUGAUGAUUAUGUUAAGUAAAAAUGGUUUAAUCUAUUAAA
Molecule: long non-coding RNA, 446 nt
Organism: Plodia interpunctella (Indianmeal moth)
Lineage: Eukaryota; Metazoa; Arthropoda; Insecta; Lepidoptera; Pyralidae
Exons: 2
Source: RefSeq, a predicted model, not a curated record